GACGAACGCUGGCGGCGUGCUUAACACAUGCAAGUCGAGCGGUAAGGCCCUUUCGGGGGUACACGAGCGGCGAACGGGUGAGUAACACGUGGGUGACCUGCCCUUAGCUCUGGGAUAAGCCUGGGAAACUGGGUCUAAUACCGGAUAUGACUCCAUGACGCAUGUUGUGGGGUGGAAAGCCUUGUGCGGCUAGGGAUGGGCCCGCGGCCUAUCAGCUUGUUGGUGGGGUGAUGGCCUACCAAGGCGACGACGGGUAGCCGGCCUGAGAGGGCGACCGGCCACACUGGGACUGAGAUACGGCCCAGACUCCUACGGGAGGCAGCAGUGGGGGAUAUUGCGCUAAUGCGCGAAAGCGUGACGCAGCGACGCCGCGUGGGGAUGAAGGCCCUC
Molecule: ribosomal RNA, 390 nt
Filed under: uncultured bacterium
Lineage: Bacteria
Description: bacterial SSU rRNA
Rfam family: Bacterial small subunit ribosomal RNA
Source: RNAcentral